Molecule: long non-coding RNA, 333 nt
Filed under: Ananas comosus (pineapple)
Lineage: Eukaryota; Viridiplantae; Streptophyta; Magnoliopsida; Poales; Bromeliaceae
Description: long non-coding RNA (ACOM_LNC020310)
Source: RNAcentral
AAAUUUUAUUAUAUUAUCUAGCCUUUCUGUUUGUUUGAUUUAAGUCAGUCAAUGGUACUUUAACUUGAAAAUUUGAAUAUAUCGUUUAUCAUUAGCAUAAAUAUUGAAAUCAAAAUAUCGUUGACUGAUUCAAAUUAAAAAAUUGAAACAUUGAUAGUAAGAUAAAAAAAAGUCAGAUGGCCGAUUUAAAAUCGUCCAUAGUUUAGAUAAGUUCUAUACUCGUUUACCUAAUUUCCAUCACAUAUACAUAAAUUACCUAGCUAUAACCAAACAUCACAAUAUUUAUUUCAUUCAAAAUUCCUUUUUGUUUUGCCAUUCUUUUUCUUAUAUUUC